UACAGAGGUCCCAAGCGUUGUUCGGAUUCACUGGGCGUAAAGGGUGCGUAGGCGGUCGGGUAAGUCUGAUGUGAAAUCUCACAGCUUAACUGUGAAACUGCAUUGGAUACUAUCCGGCUCGAGGAAUGGAGGGGAGACUGGAAUACUUGGUGUAGCAGUGAAAUGCGUAGAUAUCAAGUGGAACACCAGUGGCGAAGGCGGGUCUCUGGGCAGUAACUGACGCUGAGGAGCGAAAGCGUGGGGAGCGAACAGG
This 253-nucleotide ribosomal RNA is filed under the name uncultured bacterium. Its description in RNAcentral is "partial 16S ribosomal RNA". It matches the Rfam family "Bacterial small subunit ribosomal RNA", at positions 524 to 776 of the family's 1533-position model. The record is from RNAcentral.